RNAcentral lists this ribosomal RNA (417 nucleotides) under uncultured bacterium. RNAcentral describes it as "bacterial SSU rRNA". It matches the Rfam family "Bacterial small subunit ribosomal RNA", at positions 356 to 773 of the family's 1533-position model. The record is from RNAcentral.
GGGGAAUAUUGCACAAUGGGCGAAAGCCUGAUGCAGCGACGCCGCGUGAGGGAUGAAGGCCUUCGGGUUGUAAACCUUUUUCGCUUUUGACCAAGGCAGCAUUUUGGUGUUGUUGAGGGUAUGAGGUAAAGAAGCUCCGGCUAACUACGUGCCAGCAGCCGCGGUAAUACGUAGGGAGCGAGCGUUGUCCGGAUUUAUUGGGCGUAAAGGGCUUGUAGGUGGCUUGUCGCGUCUGCCGUGAAAUUCCGCAGCUUAACUGUGGUAGUGCGGUGGGUACGGGCAGGCUUGAGUGUGGUAGGGGAGACUGGAAUUCCUGGUGUAGCGGUGGAAUGCGCAGAUACCAGGAGGAACACCGGUGGCGAAGGCGGGUCUCUGGGCCAUUACUGACGCUGAGGAGCGAAAGCGUGGGGAGCGAAC